Molecule: ribosomal RNA, 1016 nt
Filed under: uncultured bacterium
Lineage: Bacteria
Description: bacterial SSU rRNA
Rfam family: Bacterial small subunit ribosomal RNA
Source: RNAcentral
AGGAAUAUUGGUCAAUGGGCGAGAGCCUGAACCAGCCAAGUAGCGUGAAGGAUGACUGCCCUAUGGGUUGUAAACUUCUUUUAUAAAGGAAUAAAGUCGGGUAUGGAUACCCGUUUGCAUGUACUUUAUGAAUAAGGAUCGGCUAACUCCGUGCCAGCAGCCGCGGUAAUACGGAGGAUCCGAGCGUUAUCCGGAUUUAUUGGGUUUAAAGGGAGCGUAGAUGGAUGUUUAAGUCAGUUGUGAAAGUUUGCGGCUCAACCGUAAAAUUGCAGUUGAUACUGGAUAUCUUGAGUGCAGUUGAGGCAGGCGGAAUUCGUGGUGUAGCGGUGAAAUGCUUAGAUAUCACGAAGAACUCCGAUUGCGAAGGCAGCCUGCUAAGCUGCAACUGACAUUGAGGCUCGAAAGUGUGGGUAUCAAACAGGAUUAGAUACCCUGGUAGUCCACACGGUAAACGAUGAAUACUCGCUGUUUGCGAUAUACAGCAAGCGGCCAAGCGAAAGCGUUAAGUAUUCCACCUGGGGAGUACGCCGGCAACGGUGAAACUCAAAGGAAUUGACGGGGGCCCGCACAAGCGGAGGAACAUGUGGUUUAAUUCGAUGAUACGCGAGGAACCUUACCCGGGCUUAAAUUGCAGAUGAAUUACGGUGAAAGCCGUAAGCCGCAAGGCAUCUAUGAAGGUGCUGCAUGGUUGUCGUCAGCUCGUGCCGUGAGGUGUCGGCUUAAGUGCCAUAACGAGCGCAACCCUUGUUGUCAGUUACUAACAGGUUUCGCUGAGGACUCUGACAAGACUGCCAUCGUAAGAUGUGAGGAAGGUGGGGAUGACGUCAAAUCAGCACGGCCCUUACGUCCGGGGCUACACACGUGUUACAAUGGGGGGUACAGAGGGCCGCUACCACGCGAGUGGAUGCCAAUCCCAAAAACCUCUCUCAGUUCGGACUGGAGUCUGCAACCCGACUCCACGAAGCUGGAUUCGCUAGUAAUCGCGCAUCAGCCACGGCGCGGUGAAUACGUUCCCG